RNAcentral lists this transfer RNA (70 nucleotides) under Planctomycetota bacterium. Its description in RNAcentral is "Planctomycetes bacterium tRNA-Phe". It matches the Rfam family "tRNA". From Rfam's summary of the family: Transfer RNA (tRNA) molecules are approximately 80 nucleotides in length. Their secondary structure includes four short double-helical elements and three loops (D, anti-codon, and T loops). The record is from RNAcentral. Lineage: Bacteria; Pseudomonadati; Planctomycetota.
GUAGCUCAGUUGGUAGAGCAACGGACUGAAAAUCCGUGUGUCGGCGGUUCGAAUCCGCCCGAGGCCACCA